Ictidomys tridecemlineatus (thirteen-lined ground squirrel) is the source of this 73-nucleotide non-coding RNA. Lineage: Eukaryota; Metazoa; Chordata; Mammalia; Rodentia; Sciuridae. The record is from Rfam.
AGGGAUAUAGCUUAGUUGGUAGAGUGCUUGCCUUGCAUGCACAGGGUCCUGGGUUCAAUCCCCAGUACCACCA